CAAGGGCGAAAGCCUGAUGGAUUACACCGCGUGCAGGAUGAAGGCUUUCGGGUCGUAAACUGCUUUUACUAGUGACGAAUAUGACGGUAACUAGAGAAUAAGGAUCGGCUAACUACGUGCCAGCAGCCGCGGUCAUACGUAGGAUCCAAGCAUUAUCCGGAAUUACUGGGCGUAAAGAGUUGCGUAGGUGGCAUUGCAAGCAGAACAUGAAAUCGUGUGGCUCAACUAUACGGCUAUGUUCUGAACUGCAAAGCUAGAGAACAAGAGGGGUAGAUGGAAUUACUAGUGUAGGAGUGAAAUCCGUAGAUAUUAGUAGGAACACCGAUAGCGUAGGCAGUCUACUGGCUUGUUUCUGACACUAAGGCACGAAAGCGUGGGGAGCGAACGGGAUUAGAUACCCCGGUAGUCCACGCCGUAAACGAUGGAUGCUAGCUGUGAGUCGUAUCGACCCGACUCGUAGCGAAGCUAACGCGUUAAGCAUCCCGCCUGUGGAGUACGAACGCAAGUUUAAAACAUAGAGGAAUCGACGGGGAACCGCACACAGCGGUGGAGUGUGUCGUUCUAAUUCGAUGCUAAACGAAGUAACUUACCAGGCUUG
RNAcentral lists this ribosomal RNA (598 nucleotides) under uncultured bacterium. Its description in RNAcentral is "bacterial SSU rRNA". It matches the Rfam family "Bacterial small subunit ribosomal RNA", at positions 370 to 982 of the family's 1533-position model. The record is from RNAcentral.